AUGAGGCCAUCCCAAGCUCUCUCGCUUCUCACACUCCUCAUGCUUCUUGCCUCGUCCACUGCUUCCGUCCUACAAGACACGUGCAAGCGCUUCGGCGGCGCUAACACCUACGACAUCUGCAUCGAGUUCUUCAAGGCCAACAGGGAUAGCGCCACUGCGGACAAGCGCGGGCUCGCCAUCAUCGCCACUGGGAUCGCCAGUGCAACGGCCAUGGACACCCGCAAGCGCAUCACCACCCUGAAGGCCGGGGAAAAGGAUCAGAUGAUCCAGCAGGUCAUCGCCUACUGCGACAAUAUGUACUCCGGGGCCGUGGGCCUGUUCGACAAGGCUGCCAAGGGCAUCUCGUCGGGCAACUUGGGAGACGCGGUGACAAGCCUCAGCUCCGCGCUGGACAUCCCCCAAUAUUGCGAUGACGAGUUCCUCAAGGCAGGCGUGAAAUCUCCGUUCGACGCCGAGAACUUCGAGUUUGGUGUGCAGUGCGCAAUCACUCUAGAUGUAACGAAGUUGUUGACGCUGUAG
This 519-nucleotide ribosomal RNA is filed under the name Triticum aestivum (bread wheat). RNAcentral's name for it is "partial small subunit ribosomal RNA". Lineage: Eukaryota; Viridiplantae; Streptophyta; Magnoliopsida; Poales; Poaceae. The record is from RNAcentral.